This 252-nucleotide ribosomal RNA is filed under the name uncultured bacterium. RNAcentral describes it as "partial 16S ribosomal RNA". It matches the Rfam family "Bacterial small subunit ribosomal RNA", at positions 524 to 776 of the family's 1533-position model. The record is from RNAcentral.
UACGUAGGGUGCGAGCGUUGUCCGGAAUUACUGGGCGUAAAGAGUUCGUAGGCGGUUUGUCGCGUCGUUCGUGAAACUUGGGGCUUAACUCCAAGCGUGCGGGCGAUACGGGCAGACUUGAGUACUACAGGGGAGACUGGAAUUCCUGGUGUAGCGGUGAAAUGCGCAGAUAUCAGGAGGAACACCGGUGGCGAAGGCGGGUCUCUGGGUAGUAACUGACGCUGAGGAACGAAAGCGUGGGGAGCGAACAGG